ACAUUUUCCUUUGUCUGUCUUUAAUUUUCUGUAAAUAAUAUUAAUGUCGUUAUUAGAAUGAGUAAUAUUUAACAUACGCACUCCAUGUUUUUGCAUAAUUUUUGUGAACUCUACGAUAUUUUAUUUUAUCAACAACAAAUAUAAUUGCACGUAUAAAUAUAAUGCUCGGAUUGAAAAUACAUUAAAAAGACAUCUCUGAAACGACUUGAACAAUUAAGAAUCGAGAUGACCAAGUACUUAUUUUUAUAUAUAAUAACUUGUCUAAUAAUGUUUGUACGUGAAGUGACGGGGAAUAUGGAGGCGGUCAGCUAUUGUUUUGAGCUUCUCUUUGGAAUGGGUAUACACUAUGAUCACUUUUGUGAGGAGUAUGGCGACAUCUGUGACAUAUUUUGCUAUAAAUAAAUUCCUCAACUAUAUGUUAACUAGUUUGAUUCUUCUAUUCGUGUCAGAAGACUGUAAUAAUUGUACAAGCAGUAGAAAUAAAAGUCCCAGACAACGUG
Molecule: long non-coding RNA, 500 nt
Organism: Saccostrea cuccullata (small rock oyster)
Lineage: Eukaryota; Metazoa; Mollusca; Bivalvia; Ostreida; Ostreidae
Exons: 4
Source: RefSeq, a predicted model, not a curated record